UACGUAGGGCGCAAGCGUUAUCCGGAAUUAUUGGGCGUAAAGAGCUCGUAGGCGGUUUGUCGCGUCUGCCGUGAAAGUCCGGGGCUCAACUCCGGAUCUGCGGUGGGUACGGGCAGACUAGAGUGAUGUAGGGGAGACUGGAAUUCCUGGUGUAGCGGUGAAAUGCGCAGAUAUCAGGAGGAACACCGGUGGCGAAGGCGGUUCUCUGGGACGGUACUGACGCUGAGACGCGAAAGCGUGGGGAGCGAACAGG
This 253-nucleotide ribosomal RNA is filed under the name uncultured bacterium. RNAcentral's name for it is "partial 16S ribosomal RNA". It matches the Rfam family "Bacterial small subunit ribosomal RNA", at positions 524 to 776 of the family's 1533-position model. The record is from RNAcentral.